UGUGCAGGCGGCCGCGUGUGUUAGGUGUGAAAUCUCGGAGCUCAACUCCGAAACUGCGCCUAAAACUGCGUGGCUAGAGUCUUGGAGAGGUAAGCGGAAUUCCUGGUGUAGCGGUGAAAUGCGUAGAUAUCAGGAGGAACACCAAAGGCGAAGGCAGCUUACUGGACAAGUACUGACGCUCAGGCACGAAAGCGUGGGGAGCAAAG
This 206-nucleotide ribosomal RNA is filed under the name uncultured bacterium. Its description in RNAcentral is "partial 16S ribosomal RNA". It matches the Rfam family "Bacterial small subunit ribosomal RNA", at positions 568 to 773 of the family's 1533-position model. The record is from RNAcentral.